AGGACAUUUCAAUGAGGGCUCAUGGGGCUGUGAAGCUAAGAGCUAUUAACACUAUGACCAAGGGUUGAAAUUCUCUAUAGGAUCCAUAGCACUGAAUAGUGCAACAUUUUCCUGAGGGAGUAUAAGA
This is a small nucleolar RNA of Colobus angolensis palliatus, 127 nucleotides long. Lineage: Eukaryota; Metazoa; Chordata; Mammalia; Primates; Cercopithecidae. The record is from Ensembl.